This is a long non-coding RNA of Phyllopteryx taeniolatus (common seadragon), 1296 nucleotides long. RefSeq lists it as uncharacterized. The record is from RefSeq and is a predicted model, not a curated record. Lineage: Eukaryota; Metazoa; Chordata; Actinopteri; Syngnathiformes; Syngnathidae. The transcript has 3 exons.
GAUACAGUAGGAUUUCCAACGCAUCUUGGGCAGGUGAAUGCAGCACUGACCCGAGUGACUGGAGCAGAAUCACGCUGGCUGGCGCUCUUUUUGGUGGUCAUUUUUGAUUAAAUGCCAACGUCUCGGCGACGUAUUGACAAUGAGGAAACACUCUCCCUACAACAUCAGGGCGACGUACGUUUGGUGACUGUCAUAGGUUUGUGAAAAAAUAUGAAAUUGAGAUUUCCGCCCGCUACCAGCGACACGCGUUUGUAUACUGGUCACGAGAGAGCUGGAGUUUGUCCCAGCUGACUUUGGGCGAGAGGCGCUAUACACCCUGGACUUGUUGCCAGGGUUGCGGGUGUGCUGGAGCCUAUCCUGGUGUAGCGGACAUGCCACGCAAAAGAUGCCACCCGGCACCCCAGCCUCGUAAUACCGCCGCUCCCCGCCGAGGUAGACGUUAACUCCAGAGUCACACGCCGACUCUAAACGGAUAAUAAUAAACAACAAACAAUAAACUAUCUUCAACGAGACACAUACAUUUGCUUUGCCAUGCCGACGCUAAGUGAAUCACGUCUGCCUGGGACUUUCAAAGCAGAGACCCAAGGAUGCUGGGUUCAACAGUGAGACCCAUGGGCGACGGAAUGACAUUACAGACAUGGGUUCAUAAGACAGUCUGUGACUCGACUGGGAGUCAAUAUUUUAAGAACUUUACAUGAACGCCAAAAGGCAGUUCAGCCCCUCGGUGUUCGCAAAGGUGGAAGAAAAGGAGGGGAGGGGGUAACCCCCCCAUUUUGACCCGCUCCGGCCAUUUUUAUGGCCGGAGCUGGGAGAAGUAGAGAAGUUUUUGGAGUCUUGGUGGAGUCUUUUUUUUGGUCACCCCGACCAACUCGCCGACAACCGCGCCAGGCAGGACGUCCAGCUCUCCCGAGGUGGCAAGGACACAUCGGAGAAUCCCCGGCUGCAGCUUCCUGCAAGCGCUCCGAGCCACCCUGCUUGGGGGCCCGAACUCAGUCUGAGGGAACGUAGGCAGACGCAACGCGCGCGCUCCGAACGUCACCCGAGAGACGCCCUGUUUUUCCUCCAUCCCUUCCGUCAAAUCCACCUGCUCACGGUGCGGACCGAAACGUGUUCCAGACACAUAAGUCCAACAUGGCUAAUCCGUACAUAUUUGGGUUUAUAUUAACGAGACCAGGAGUCCUCAGCUAUAUGCAUUCACUACACGUCCAUACUGGUCAUCUCACGUCACAAAUCCCUUCCUUUGCCAAUGUUCGUAGAUACCUUGUUUGUUUUGUGUUUGUCUGUAUUUUAACCUGU